This 76-nucleotide transfer RNA is filed under the name Candidatus Neomicrothrix parvicella RN1. RNAcentral describes it as "Candidatus Microthrix parvicella RN1 tRNA-Trp". It matches the Rfam family "tRNA". Rfam says of the family: Transfer RNA (tRNA) molecules are approximately 80 nucleotides in length. The record is from RNAcentral. Lineage: Bacteria; Bacillati; Actinomycetota; Acidimicrobiia; Acidimicrobiales; Microthrixaceae.
AGGGCAGUAGCUCAAUUGGCAGAGCACCGGUCUCCAAAACCGAAGGUUGAGAGUUCAAAUCUCUCCUGCCCUGCAA